GUGAAUCAUCGAAUUUUUGAACGCAAAUUGCACUCUCUUCGGAGAGUAUGCCCGUUUGAGGGUCAGCCUAAAAAAAAAAUCGACAUAGUCGCUGUUUCUCGUUGACUUUCUUCUCUAAUUGGGUCAUCUUAACCCUUUGGGUUUUAAGCGGCUUAAAAUUUUCUUUAUGAUUCCACGAUCGUUUCUAAGAUUUACUUUUUAUACGUUUAACCUCCCGAUCUUUAUUAUACGUUCCCGUUUCUCCC
This 245-nucleotide unclassified non-coding RNA is filed under the name Glomus sp. Its description in RNAcentral is "partial contains 5.8S ribosomal RNA and internal transcribed spacer 2". The stretch from base 1 to 65 matches the Rfam family "5.8S ribosomal RNA", at positions 84 to 154 of the family's 154-position model. Lineage: Eukaryota; Fungi; Glomeromycota; Glomeromycetes; Glomerales; Glomeraceae. The record is from RNAcentral.